This 253-nucleotide ribosomal RNA is filed under the name uncultured bacterium. RNAcentral describes it as "partial 16S ribosomal RNA". It matches the Rfam family "Bacterial small subunit ribosomal RNA", at positions 524 to 776 of the family's 1533-position model. The record is from RNAcentral.
UACGUAGGGGGCAAGCGUUGUCCGGAUUUAUUGGGCGUAAAGAGCGUGUAGGCGGCCUUACAGGUCAGCUGUGAAAACUCGAGGCUCAACUUCGAGCUGUCGGUGGAAACUGUCUGGCUAGAGUCCGGAAGAGGAGAAUGGAAUUCCUGGUGUAGCGGUGAAAUGCGCAGAUAUCAGGAAGAACACCCGUGGCGAAGGCGGUUCUCUGGGACGGUACUGACGCUGAGACGCGAAAGCGUGGGGAGCGAACAGG